RNAcentral lists this ribosomal RNA (435 nucleotides) under uncultured Oscillospiraceae bacterium. RNAcentral describes it as "partial 16S ribosomal RNA". It matches the Rfam family "Bacterial small subunit ribosomal RNA", at positions 341 to 792 of the family's 1533-position model. Lineage: Bacteria; Bacillati; Bacillota; Clostridia; Eubacteriales; Oscillospiraceae. The record is from RNAcentral.
ACGGAAGGCAGCAGUGGGGAAUAUUGGGCAAUGGGGGAAACCCUGACCCAGCAACGCCGCGUGAAGGAAGAAGGCCUUCGGGUUGUAAACUUCUUUUACCAGGGACGAAGAAUGACGGUACCUGGAGAAAAAGCAACGGCUAACUACGUGCCAGCAGCCGCGGUAAUACGUAGGUUGCAAGCGUUGUCCGGAUUUACUGGGUGUAAAGGGCGUGUAGGCGGAGAUGCAAGUCAGAAGUGAAAUCUAGGGGCUCAACCCCUAAACUGCUUUUGAAACUGUAUCCCUUGAGUAUCGGAGAGGCAGGCGGAAUUCCCAGUGUAGCGGUGAAAUGCGUAGAUAUUGGGAGGAACACCAGUGGCGAAGGCGGCCUGCUGGACGACAACUGACGCUGAGGCGCGAAAGCGUGGGGAGCAAACAGGAUUAGAUACCCUGGUA